UACGGAGGGUGCAAGCGUUGUUCGGAAUCAUUGGGCGUAAAGCGCGCGUAGGCGGCCCGGUAAGUCCGCUGUGAAAGUCAAAGGCUCAACCUUUGAAUGUCAGCGGAUACUGCCGGGCUAGAGUCCGGAAGAGGCGAGUGGAAUUCCUGGUGUAGCGGUGGAAUGCGCAGAUAUCAGGAGGAACACCAACGGCGAAGGCAGCUCGCUGGGACGGUACUGACGCUGAGGCGCGAAAGCGUGGGGAGCAAACAGG
This 253-nucleotide ribosomal RNA is filed under the name uncultured bacterium. Its description in RNAcentral is "partial 16S ribosomal RNA". It matches the Rfam family "Bacterial small subunit ribosomal RNA", at positions 524 to 776 of the family's 1533-position model. The record is from RNAcentral.